CAGCCGCCGCGGUAAUACAGAGGGUGCGAGCGUUAAUCGGAUUUACUGGGCGUAAAGCGUGCGUAGGCGGCUUUUUAAGUCGGAUGUGAAAUCCCUGAGAUUAACUUAGGAAUUGCAUUCGAUACUGGGAAGCUAGAGUAUGGGAGAGGAUGGUAGAAUUCCAGGUGUAGCGGUGAAAUGCGUAGAGAUCUGGAGGAAUACCGAUGGCGAAGGCAGCCAUCUGGCCUAAUACUGACGCUGAGGUACGAAAGCAUGGGGAGCAAACAGGAUUAGAUACCCCCGUAGUCCCUGUCUCUUAUAC
RNAcentral lists this ribosomal RNA (301 nucleotides) under uncultured bacterium. Its description in RNAcentral is "partial 16S ribosomal RNA". It matches the Rfam family "Bacterial small subunit ribosomal RNA", at positions 509 to 807 of the family's 1533-position model. The record is from RNAcentral.